This is a long non-coding RNA of Oncorhynchus tshawytscha (Chinook salmon), 1696 nucleotides long. The record is from Ensembl. Lineage: Eukaryota; Metazoa; Chordata; Actinopteri; Salmoniformes; Salmonidae.
GUAUCGUAGUGGUAUAUGGUAGUGGUAUAUGGUAGUGGUAUAUGGUAGUGGUAUAUGGUAUAUGGUAGUGGUGUAUAGUAGUGGUAUAUGGUAUAUGGUAGUGGUAUAUGGUAUAUGGUAGUGGUGUAUGGUAGUGAUAUAUGGUAUAUGGUAGUGGUGUAUAGUAGUGGUAUAUGGUAGUGGUGUAUCGUAGUGGUAUAUGGUAGUGGUAUAUGGUAGUGGUAUAUGGUAUAUGUGGUUGGUGUAUGGUAGUGGUAUAUGGUAGUGGUAUAUGGUAGUGGUGUAUGGUAUAUGGUAGUGGUGUAUAGUAGUGGUAUAUGGUAGUGGUAUAUGGUAGUGGUGUAUAGUAGUGGUAUAUGGUAGUGGUGUAUCAUAGUGGUAUAUGGUAGUGGUAUAUGGUAGUGGUAUAUGGUAGGGGGAGAUAGUAGUUGUAUAUGGUAGUGGUAUAUGGUAGUAGUGUAUAGUAGUGGUAUAUGGUAGUGGUAUAUGGUAGUGGUGUAUAGUAGUGGUAUAUGGUAGUGGUGUAUAGUAGUGGUGUAUGGUAGUGGUAUAUGGUAGUGGUGUAUCGUAGUGGUAUGUGGUAGUGGUAUAUGGUAGUGGUAUAUGGUAGUGGUAUAUGGUAUAUGGUAGUGGUAUAUAGUACAUGGUAGUGGAGUAUAGUAGUGGUAUGUGGUAGUGGUGUAUGGUAGUGGUAUAUGGUAGUGGUGCAUAGUAGUGGUAUAUGGUAGUGGUGUAUCGUAGUGGUAUAUGCUAGUGGUAUAUGGUAUAUGGUUGUGGUGUAUAGUAGUGGUAUGUGGUAGUGGUAUAUGGUAGUGGUAUAUGGUAUAUGGUAGUCGAGUAUAGUAGUGGUAUAUUGUAGUGGUGUAUGGUAGUGGUAUAGUGUAGUGGUGUAUAGUAGUGGUAUAUGGUAGUGGUAUAUGGUAGUGGUGUAUGGUAGUUGUAUAUGGUAGUGGUGUAUGGUUGUGGUAUAUAGUAGUGGUAUAUGGUAAUAUGGUAGUGGUAUAUGGCAGUGUUAUUAUGUAGUGGUAUAGGUUAGUGGUGUAUUGUAGUGGUGUAUUGUUGUAUGGUCAGGGUAUGUGGUAGUGGUAUAUGUUAGUGGUAUGUUGUAGUGGUAUAUGUUAGUGGUAUAUUGUAGUGGUCUAUGGUGGUGGUAUAUUGUAGUUGUUUAUGGUGGUGGUAUAUGGUGGUGGUAUAUGGUAGUGGUAUAUGGUAGUGGUAUAUGGUAGUGGUAUAUUGUAGUUGUUUAUGGUGGUGGUAUAUGGUAGUGGUAUAUGGUAGUGGUAUAUUGUAGUGGUAUAUGUUAGCCGGUGGUAUAUGGCAGUGGUAUAUUUUAGUGGAACACUAGGUGGGCCAUGAACAGGCUGUAAAGAUCACUAGUGGGCCAUCGACAGGCUGUAAAGAACACUAGGUGGGCCAUGGACAGGCUGUAAAGAACACUAGGUGGGCCAUGGACAGGCUGUAAAGAACACUAGGUGGGCCAUGGACAGGCUGUAAAGAACACUAGGUGGGCCAUGGACAGGCUGUAAAGAACACUAGUGGGCCAUGGACAGGUUGUUAAAAAUACGGUGACUGAAGUUCCUCUGAUAUGAUAAACAUACACACAUGUAAACACAUAUACACACAUCAGGUUUAGGCUCAGAGUCAAGGUUGAUUGGAUUGCAAACUUUAUCGACCUGAAGGACACACACACACAGAC